This 465-nucleotide ribosomal RNA is filed under the name Vreelandella stevensii. Its description in RNAcentral is "partial 16S ribosomal RNA". It matches the Rfam family "Bacterial small subunit ribosomal RNA", at positions 338 to 795 of the family's 1533-position model. The record is from RNAcentral. Lineage: Bacteria; Pseudomonadati; Pseudomonadota; Gammaproteobacteria; Oceanospirillales; Halomonadaceae.
CCUACGGGUGGCAGCAGUGGGGAAUAUUGGACAAUGGGGGGAACCCUGAUCCAGCCAUACCGCGUGUGUGAAGAAGGCCCUCGGGUUGUAAAGCACUUUCAGUGAGGAAGAACGCCUGGUGGUUAAUACCCAUCAGGAAAGACAUCACUCACAGAAGAAGCACCGGCUAACUCCGUGCCAGCAGCCGCGGUAAUACGGAGGGUGCGAGCGUUAAUCGGAAUUACUGGGCGUAAAGCGCGCGUAGGUGGCUUGAUAAGCCGGUUGUGAAAGCCCCGGGCUCAACCUGGGAACGGCAUCCGGAACUGUCAAGCUAGAGUGCAGGAGAGGAAGGUAGAAUUCCCGGUGUAGCGGUGAAAUGCGUAGAGAUCGGGAGGAAUACCAGUGGCGAAGGCGGCCUUCUGGACUGACACUGACACUGAGGUGCGAAAGCGUGGGUAGCAAACAGGAUUAGAUACCCUUGUAGUC